ACGCUCGACACCUACGGGAGGUAGCAGUGAGGGGAUAUUGGUCAAUGGGGGGAACCCUGACCAGCAACGCCGCGUGAGGGAUGACGGUCUUCGGAUUGUAAACCUCUGUCCUCUGUGAAGAUAAUGACGGUAGCAGAGGAGGAAGCUCCGGCUAACUACGUACCACGCACGCCGCGGUAAUCUGAGCGGGCGUGGCGAAGGC
This 202-nucleotide ribosomal RNA is filed under the name uncultured bacterium. RNAcentral's name for it is "partial 16S ribosomal RNA". It matches the Rfam family "Bacterial small subunit ribosomal RNA", at positions 328 to 538 of the family's 1533-position model. The record is from RNAcentral.